This 2352-nucleotide long non-coding RNA is filed under the name Coffea arabica (coffee). RNAcentral describes it as "long non-coding RNA (CARA_LNC007366)". Lineage: Eukaryota; Viridiplantae; Streptophyta; Magnoliopsida; Gentianales; Rubiaceae. The record is from RNAcentral.
GUUGGGUAAAGAAAAGGAAAUCUAGUUCAAAGGGGAUGGUGAUUAGGGUUUGUCUAUAUAAGUACACCUAGGGUAAUGAGGAGCCGUUCUCCUUGCAAUUUUUUCAGCAACCAACAGCGAGGAAAAAGGAGUGAGAGAGUCGGCUGGAGUUCAAGAAAGCUUGGGAUCAAAGGAGGUGCACAUACAGGGCGGUUACGCGAGUGUUGAAGAGGUAAAACACAUGUCUCAUGAACUUAGUAAAUAGCUAUGAGUUUUGAGCCCUUUAUUAGAGGAAGAAAAUGUGUGGACUGUGGGUCUCAUCCUAACUACCAUGACCUAUGAUUUAGUACGUGAUUGUAAGGGGUUAAAACUGAAAAAGGUUUGAACGUUUAAACCAGGAAGGAAUAGCCUACGGGUUUUGACAGAUUGUAGUGGCAAGAGUAUGGAAUCUGUUCAUGGCCUUAGAGGCUGAGAUUUUUUAUGAAAUUUUGAUAUGUUAUGGGCCUAUAUGUGUAGGGUUUGUGUAUAAAAUUUCAGACCAAAAUUCGAAGUAUAGAAGGGUCUUUCGAUUUCUGAAUCAGAACUGGUUGUGCGUCUGCAGCGUUUGCAUGAGGUUGGGUUGUAUGUCAAUAAAACGUUUUCUUAAGCAUAAUUUUUGCAAAAAUCCUAAACCAGAAACCUCCUAACAUGUAAAGGGUCAUAUUUUAAAAGUUUGGGUAAUUUUUGAAAAGGUUUCUUGAGUUUUCUCCAAGUGGGAAGAAGAAAAGAAAAAAAAACGGUUGCCUAAUCUGUCGGGUUUCGUAGCAGAUUUGGAAACUUGCUUUUUGUGGGUUGAAGCAACGAAUUAAAGGCAAUCUUCACCCAAGAUUUGACCAUAUAUUUGGGGUAUUACUUGUAUAAGAACAUUCUGGAUGUUGGGGAUAUAAAACCCAGUUCUUAAAGAUCCUUUUUGCAAGGGUUCAGUGGUGAGUUCAAACCUGUCAAAAGAAUUGGAUUGUUAAAUCUAAUGAGUUAUUGCUUUGGAACUUGGAAGAGCACUUAAACCUUAACUUGAGGGGAGGUUAACAUCAGGUAAAGACUGAUUUAAACAUCAUGAGUAAUAAGGAAGGGAUUUUAAUUGUCUAACUUAAUGAUUAGGAAUUCUUCCAGUAAUAGAUUAUGAACAGAAAAUCUGGCAGAUGGAGUAAUAGGAGUUUAUGAACGAAUUUUGCCAAGGCAAAUGAACAAAUCUAGAGAAGUAGUUUUCACGGAAGUGGUAGAGUUUCAAGUCUAGUUCACGGAUGUGUCUUUAGUUUCUGGUUUCAAUGCGUAUACCUGAAGUUAGGACCAAAACACUAGCAACCGGUUGAAUCUGGAAUUUUUUUCGUAAGACGUAGUAGAAGCUAUAAGUAGCGUGGAAUGAGACCAAUUUAGGCCACACGAAUUAAGAGUGUUUGUUUAUGGGCAGUUGGAUGAUACUUUUGUAUAUUAUUAGGGUCACACGUAAGGGGCUAGCUCAUAGGGUGGAAGAGUAAAAGAAGUUAGUCGAAGUUGAGGUGAGUACUUCACACUAUCCUUGUAUUUGUAACAACGAACUUUUUACAAAUUGGGACAUUACUUUACUAUAUAAAAUUCGGAUCAUAUAUGCUAUUUUGAAUGGAAUCUUUAUCAUGAUAUGCUUAUUUUUUGAAGUGUUGAAAUAAAAUGUACUAAUGUAAUGGACCCUCUUAAUUACCAUCAUGACUAUACUCGGCAGGACCAGGCCCAACUACUAUGAUUAUGAAUUCGAAUUCGAACUAUGACCUUUCCCUAGUGGGGGUUAAACACUAGACUGUGUACACAGAGACCGAUGAAGGCAAUUAAGUUGAAACUUUUAUUUGGUGAUUGUUAUGUAUUCGAAUUUGAUGCAUAAUUGUGUUUGCAAAUUUGCAUACGACUCUAUGGUCUUUUUGUAACAAUUGGAGCUAUGAAUAUGAAGUACGAAUUGUGUUGUGUGAGUGCAAAAUUAUAUGUAUAUGUAACAUGUAUGAUCUGACAGGGAUAGUAGGUAGUACUUGCUGAGCUUGCAAAAGCUCACCCCCCUUUUAUCACCCCACUUUGCAGACAACGAUGGAGAAUAUGAGUUAGUGUUCGUGGAAGAAGAGGAAGAAUAGAUGGACAAUGGUUGGAGGUUGAUAUAGUGGUCAAGCUUAUAAGCUUAGCAGCGGAGAUUUUUCAUUAUCAUUUAUUUUUAUUUUCUAGUCAUGUUUGAGGGAUUCUAGUGUCUGGCACUUGUCCAUAAGUAGACAAGUUUGACUUUUAUUUUCAUGAUACGUUUACUGUGAGAACCCGAAAAUUAUAUUUAUAUUGAUAUUCUAAAAAAUUAUAUAUAUAUAUACAUAUAUUUGUAUUCUA